RNAcentral lists this ribosomal RNA (292 nucleotides) under uncultured bacterium. RNAcentral describes it as "partial 16S ribosomal RNA". It matches the Rfam family "Bacterial small subunit ribosomal RNA", at positions 505 to 796 of the family's 1533-position model. The record is from RNAcentral.
GUGCCAGCCGCCGCGGUAAGACAGAGGAGCCAAGCGUUGUCCGGAUUGACUGGGCGUAAAGCGCACGCAGGCGGUCCUGCACGUGGGGUGUGAAAGCUGGCCGCUUAACGGUCAGUCGCCAUCCCAUACGGCGGGACUAGAGCGGUGCAGAGGGCGGUGGAAUUGCCGGUGUAGUGGUGAAAUGCGUAGAGAUCGGCAGGAACACCCAGGGGGAAACCAGCCGCCUGGGCACCUUCUGACGCUGAGGUGCGAGAGCGUGGGGAGCGAACCGGAUUAGAUACCCCCGUAGUCC